RNAcentral lists this ribosomal RNA (296 nucleotides) under uncultured bacterium. Its description in RNAcentral is "partial 16S ribosomal RNA". It matches the Rfam family "Bacterial small subunit ribosomal RNA", at positions 28 to 300 of the family's 1533-position model. The record is from RNAcentral.
GACGAACGCUGGCGGCGUGCCUAAUACAUGCAAGUCGAGCGAGCGGAACUAACAGAUUUUACUUCGGUAAUGACGUUAGGAAGCGAGCGGCGGAUGGGUGAGUAACACGUGGGGAACCUGCCCCAUAGUCUGGGAUACCACUUGGAAACAGGUGCUAAUACCGGAUAAGAAAGCAGAUCGCAUGAUCAACUUUUAAAAAGGCGCGUAAGCUGUCGCUAUGGGAUGGCCCCGCGGUGCAUUAGCUAGUUGUAAGUAAAGGCUUACCAAGGCGAUGAUGCAUAGCCGAGUUGAGAGAC